UAGCAUAUCAAUAAGCGGAGGRAAAGAAACUAACUGGGAUUCCCCUAGUAACUGCGAGUGAAGCGGGAAAAGCUCAWAUUUAAAAUCUGGCGGUCUCUGGCCGUCCGAGUUGUAAUCUAGAGAAGUGCUGCCCGCGCUGGACCGUGUACAAGUCUCCUGGAAUGGAGCGUCAUAGAGGGUGAGAAUCCCGUCUCUGACACGGACUACCAGGGCUUUGUGGUACGCUCUCAAAGAGUCGAGUUGUUUGGGAAUGCAGCUCAAAAUGGGUGGUAAAUUCCAUCUAAAGCUAAAUAUUGGCGAGAGACCGAUAGCGAACAAGUACCGUGAGGGAAAGAUGAAAAGAACUUUGGAAAGAGAGUUAAACAGUACGUGAAAUUGCUGAAAGGGAAACGCUUGAAGUCAGUCGCGUUGGCCGGGGAUCAGCCUCGCUUUUUUGCGUGGUGUACUUUCUGGUUGACGGGUCAGCAUCAAUUUUGACCGCUGGAAAAAGGCUUGGGGAAUGUGGCAGCUUCGGCUGUGUUAUAGCCCUUUGUCACAUACAGCGGUUGGGAUUGAGGAACUCAGCACGCCGCAAGGCCGGGUUUCGACCACGUUCGUGCUUAGGAUGCUGGCAUAAUGGCUUUAAGCGACCCGUCUUGAAACACGGACCAAGGAGUCUAACAUGCCUGCGAGUGUUUGGGUGGAAAACCCGAGCGCGUAAUGAAAGUGAAAGUUGAGAUCCCUGUCGUGGGGAGCAUCGACGCCCGGACCAGAACUUUUGGGACGGAUCCGCGGUAGAGCAUGUAUGUUGGGACCCGAAAGAUGGUGAACUAUGCCUGAAUAGGGUGAAGCCAGAGGAAACUCUGGUGGAGGCUCGUAGCGAUUCUGACGUGCAAAUCGAUCGUCAAAUUUGGGUAUAGCGGCGAAAGACUAAUCGAACCAUCUAGUAGCUGGU
This 934-nucleotide ribosomal RNA is filed under the name Macrolepiota dolichaula. RNAcentral describes it as "partial large subunit ribosomal RNA". The record is from RNAcentral. Lineage: Eukaryota; Fungi; Basidiomycota; Agaricomycetes; Agaricales; Agaricaceae.